RNAcentral lists this ribosomal RNA (127 nucleotides) under uncultured bacterium. RNAcentral's name for it is "partial 16S ribosomal RNA". It matches the Rfam family "Bacterial small subunit ribosomal RNA", at positions 354 to 474 of the family's 1533-position model. The record is from RNAcentral.
UAGGGGAAUUUUCGUUCAAUGGGGGCAACCCGUGAACGAGCAAUGCCGCGUGAGCGAAGAAGGUCUUCGGAUUGUAAAGCUCUGUUGCCGGGGAAAAAGGAAGGAAAAGAGGAAAUGCUUUUCUUUU